RNAcentral lists this ribosomal RNA (439 nucleotides) under uncultured bacterium. RNAcentral describes it as "partial 16S ribosomal RNA". It matches the Rfam family "Bacterial small subunit ribosomal RNA", at positions 339 to 795 of the family's 1533-position model. The record is from RNAcentral.
CUACGGGAUGCACCAGUGAGGAAUAUUGCACAAUGGGGGGAACCCUGAUGCAGCAACGCCACGUGGAGGAUGACACAUUUCGGUGUGUAAACUCCUUUUAUAUGUCAAGAAAAUGACGGUAGCAUAUGAAUAAGCACCGGCUAACUCCGUGCCAGCAGCCGCGGUAAUACGGAGGGUGCAAGCGUUACUCGGAAUCACUGGGCGUAAAGGACGCGUAGGCGGGUUGGAAAGUCAGGUGUGAAAUCCUACAGCUUAACUGUAGAACUGCACUUGAAACUUCUAAUCUAGAGUAUGGGAGGGGGAGAUGGAAUUAGUGGUGUAGGGGUAAAAUCCGUAGAUAUCACUAGGAAUACCUAAAGCGAAGGCGAUCUCCUGGAACAUUACUGACGCUAAGGCGUGAAAGCGUGGGGAGCAAACAGGAUUAGAUACCCGCGUAGUC